Molecule: transfer RNA, 87 nt
Filed under: Fibrobacter succinogenes subsp. succinogenes S85
Lineage: Bacteria; Pseudomonadati; Fibrobacterota; Fibrobacteria; Fibrobacterales; Fibrobacteraceae
Description: tRNA-Leu
Rfam family: tRNA
About the family: Transfer RNA (tRNA) molecules are approximately 80 nucleotides in length. Their secondary structure includes four short double-helical elements and three loops (D, anti-codon, and T loops).
Source: RNAcentral
GCGGUCGUGGUGGAAUUGGUAGACACGCUAGCUUGAGGUGCUAGUGGGAGCAAUCUCAUGACAGUUCAAGUCUGUCCGACCGCAGAA